RNAcentral lists this unclassified non-coding RNA (204 nucleotides) under Melitaea cinxia (Glanville fritillary). Its description in RNAcentral is "misc RNA ENSMCXG00005007164.1". Lineage: Eukaryota; Metazoa; Arthropoda; Insecta; Lepidoptera; Nymphalidae. The record is from RNAcentral.
UUUUAAUUAACAAUAAUUUUAUUCAUUUAAUAGAAUAUAUACUUUUUUUAUGUCACAAUGCAGUAGCGUGUCGAUGCUGACAAACAUACUUUUAUUUUUUAUUAGGGUCAGGUCAAGGUUAGGUCGAAGAUUUGAAUUGAGGAAAAAUUAAUAGGUAGGUAUAUCUUGCAAAACAACCUAUUGGUAAUCGCUUACCAUCGGGUG